AGAGUUUGAUCCUGGCUCAGAACGAACGCUGGCGGCAUGCCUAACACAUGCAAGUCGAACGAGACCUUCGGGUCUGGUGGCGCACGGGUGCGUAACGCGUGGGAAUCUGCCCUUGGGUUCGGAAUAACUGGGAGAAAUUCCAGCUAAUACCGGAUGAUGUCUUCGGACCAAAGAUUUAUCGCCCAAGGAUGAGCCCGCGUAGGAUUAGCUAGUUGGUGAGGUAAAGGCUCACCAAGGCGACGAUCCUUAGCUGGUCUGAGAGGAUGAUCAGCCACACUGGGACUGAGACACGGCCCAGACUCCUACGGGAGGCAGCAGUGGGGAAUAUUGGACAAUGGGCGAAAGCCUGAUCCAGCAAUGCCGCGUGAGUGAUGAAGGCCUUAGGGUUGUAAAGCUCUUUUACCCGGGAUGAUAAUGACCGUACCGGGAGAAUAAGCUCCGGCUAACUCCGUG
Molecule: ribosomal RNA, 453 nt
Filed under: uncultured Sphingomonadaceae bacterium
Lineage: Bacteria; Pseudomonadati; Pseudomonadota; Alphaproteobacteria; Sphingomonadales; Sphingomonadaceae
Description: bacterial SSU rRNA
Rfam family: Bacterial small subunit ribosomal RNA
Source: RNAcentral